CACGUAGGGCGCAAGCGUUGUCCGGAAUUAUUGGGCGUAAAGAGCUCGUAGGCGGUCUGUUGCGUCCGCUGUGAAAACCCGGGGCUUAACCCUGGGCUGGCAGUGGAUACGGGCAGGCUAGAGUUCGGUAGGGGAGACUGGAAUUCCUGGUGUAGCGGUGAAAUGCGCAGAUAUCAGGAGGAACACCGGUGGCGAAGGCGGGUCUCUGGGCCGAUACUGACGCUGAGGAGCGAAAGCGUGGGGAGCGAACAGG
Molecule: ribosomal RNA, 253 nt
Filed under: uncultured bacterium
Lineage: Bacteria
Description: partial 16S ribosomal RNA
Rfam family: Bacterial small subunit ribosomal RNA
Source: RNAcentral